RNAcentral lists this ribosomal RNA (253 nucleotides) under uncultured bacterium. Its description in RNAcentral is "partial 16S ribosomal RNA". It matches the Rfam family "Bacterial small subunit ribosomal RNA", at positions 524 to 776 of the family's 1533-position model. The record is from RNAcentral.
UACGUAGGGGGCAAGCGUUAUCCGGAUUUACUGGGUGUAAAGGGGGCGCAGACGGCAAUGCAAGCCAGGAGUGAAAGCCCGGGGCCCAACCCCGGGACUGCUCUUGGAACAGCAUGGCUGGAGUACAGGAGGGGCAGGCGGAAUUCCUAGUGUAGCGGUGAAAUGCGUAGAUAUUAGGAGGAACACCAGUGGCGAAGGCGGCUUACUGGACUGUAAAUGACGCUGAGGCUCGAAAGCGUGGGGAGCAAACAGG